GACAGAGGGUGCAAGCGUUGUUCGAAAUCACUGGGCGUAAAGGGCACGUAGGCGACGAAGUGUGUCUGAUGUGAAAGACCUUGGCUUAACCAAGGAAGUGCAUUGGAAACUACUUUGCUAGAGUGCGAGAGAGGGUGGUGGAAUUCCCAGAGUAGAGGUGAAAUUCGUAGAUACUGGGAGGAACAUCUGAGGCGAAGGCGACCACCUGGAUCGCUACUGACGCUGAGGUGCGAAAGCAUGGGGAGCAAACAGG
RNAcentral lists this ribosomal RNA (253 nucleotides) under uncultured bacterium. RNAcentral describes it as "partial 16S ribosomal RNA". It matches the Rfam family "Bacterial small subunit ribosomal RNA", at positions 524 to 776 of the family's 1533-position model. The record is from RNAcentral.